GUUUGCAGUCAAAUGCAGGAGUGUUCAUGCUUAAAGCAACAUGCUCAGUUGCUCACAAACUGGACAGACAUUUGCCUUGGUUCUGCCUGUAAUUAUUACCAUAAUUACCCUUAAUUAUUCAUAAUCUCAAUCACUUUCUUAUUAGACCAACAGAACUAAAUACGAAUAAUUCUGCCCCUCUGUGCUGUGUGUUUGUUUUAGAUAACAAACAAAGGAACUGCACUUGCCCCUUUUUAGAUCCAAAAACCUUCAGUCAAUCAUACAAUCGCUCUCUAUUCAAUUCUUCUUCUUUCUUUAAUCCCAAACACUUGAUAAUGGGUGUGGCGCAAAACAAUCACGACAUGGAGGAGGGGACGCUGGAGAUCGGCAUGGAGUAUAGAACUGUAUCUGGAGUCGCUGGACCUCUUGUUAUACUUGAUAAGGUCAAGGGACCGAAAUAUCAAGAGAUUGUUAAUAUUCGUUUAGGUGAUGGAACAAUCCGCCGUGGUCAAGUCCUUGAAGUUGAUGGGGAGAAAGCUGUUGUUCAGGUUUUUGAAGGAACAUCUGGGAUUGACAACAAAUACACAACUGUCCAAUUUACAGGAGAGGUUCUGAAGACUCCUGUCUCAUUAGAUAUGCUUGGGCGCAUUUUUAAUGGUUCUGGAAAGCCUAUUGAUAAUGGUCCCCCAAUUUUGCCUGAGGCAUACUUGGACAUUUCUGGUAGUUCUAUUAACCCUAGUGAGAGAACCUAUCCUGAAGAAAUGAUA
This 746-nucleotide unclassified non-coding RNA is filed under the name Hevea brasiliensis (rubber tree). The record is from RNAcentral. Lineage: Eukaryota; Viridiplantae; Streptophyta; Magnoliopsida; Malpighiales; Euphorbiaceae.